This 469-nucleotide long non-coding RNA is filed under the name Lynx pardinus (Iberian lynx). Lineage: Eukaryota; Metazoa; Chordata; Mammalia; Carnivora; Felidae. The record is from RNAcentral.
AGAGGUCCCUAAAAUGAACCAACCAGAUAAGAGACCAGAGUUACAGAAGAAUCUGUAAAAGGAGAAGGAUCCUUUUCCUCCAAAGGCAUGUAGUCCCCAAAUAGAAACAAUCAAGAAAGAAGAGUAGUAAAAAAGAAGAUACAAACUUUUACUUAAAGGGAAAUGACCCAGUGAAAAAUAAAUACCAUCUAUCUAAGCUUGAACCAUGCUGCAACUCCCACCAGAGGCAGAUAAUCCAGCUAUGAUACUCCUCCCCACCCAAUUCUUCCAGGAUUGUUAGAUACCUGAGGUAGCUCAGGUGAAGUCCGGGGCUCCUGUGGGUCUCCACCUCCACAUCACUGCUGGGUUCUGAACAGGAAAAAACAAACAGAGUCUUGGUGGGAGAAGGGUAGGAACAGAGGCCUAUGUUUGUUACAAUAAAGAAGUCUGACAAAAUGGCAAGAGCUCUGGGCACUUCCAAGAUUCCCUC